CUGCCAUGCGGCAGCGAGGCCGCCGUCCCGCGAGAGCUCAGCAAGGAACUGGCGAAGGGAGGCCUCCUCGUGCUGUGUACAGGAACUGGUCGGAGAGGCCAAGGAGAUCAGCAGCACAAGAGCAAGACCAAGGGAAGGAAAGAAAAGCAGGGCAUAAGAGAAAGAAACAGUAGGUGAAGAAGAUUUUGCGAAGAUUCUACCGGGCGAGACAAUGCGCCGGGAAGAUCGUACCGAAAGGCGCCUGCGAUUGAGAGCAAUCAUCAUGGUGUGUAGACAAAGGCCAAGUGGAGGGCAGGAAGAAAGUGCAGUUUCCUGGCUUCCUGGCUUAAUGGACGGGGUGGGUGGUCGAUCCGUGCGGUCUCCUCCAUCCCCUUCUUGACCCGGGGGCGUUUACUUGCCCUUGUCACGCGUGCGUGCGUGCGAGCUUCGUCUGAUGUUUACGUUUGCUCUUCUUUUGCCAUUCUCCUGGCUCCACUGGCGCACUAUAAUUGCGGACCGUGGACGGUGACGCUUUGUGGCUGUCAUCUGAAGUUUGAACCGUAACUUGGGGUGCUGGCAAUGGUGAUGCUAAGUACAGUUUUCUACUCCUAUUACUGUUGUUUUGGAAUGUUAAUUAGUUUACUUGAAUACAAAGGUGGUGUUGAUUAGUUUACUUGGAUAGGUCGACAGCUCCAAUUAUAUGGAUAAACCCUUUUUAAGAACUAUAUUAAGCGAAA
Long non-coding RNA from Triticum dicoccoides, 716 nucleotides. RefSeq lists it as uncharacterized. The record is from RefSeq and is a predicted model, not a curated record. The transcript is spliced from 2 exons. Lineage: Eukaryota; Viridiplantae; Streptophyta; Magnoliopsida; Poales; Poaceae.